CGCCGGCCCUGGUGGCGCCCGGCUUCGCGGGGUUUCGCUAACGCCUGCAGCCGCCGCGUCCCCUCCCUGGGAAUAGUGUUAUUCGACCUCCUUCUGCCAGGAGGACUCUCCCUGAAUCACUCCACCAGCACUUUGAAUAAAUAAUGCCACUCCCUUCAGGCCUACAGACUUCCUGUUGAAAAUCAGCUGAUUGCUGAUAGCAAUAUGAAUGGCAGUCUGCUGGAUAACCACCUUGCGUAUUUCUACCACCUGAAGAUCUCCAUGUGGAAAGUUCCAAGGUUAAUUUUCCUGAAGAACCUGUCCAGUGCUUUCAAGUUCAAUCGUGUCACUCCAGGGAAUGUGACAGCUGUGCAGAAAAACAGCCUUUGCUCAUGUUUCUGGCUCCAGUUAUAGCAACACAAGGCAGCACAGGGCAGCGAAAAUAGCAUGGUCGGAGGAAGGCGGACCCUGACCCUGAUUCCACGACUUAUCACCUGUCACCUUGGAAAAGGUACUUAAGCCCUGCCCCUCACUUUUCUCAGUUGUAAAAGAUGAAGAUAUUAUCUUUCAUGUUAAGGGAACUGUGAGGACUAAAUGAGAUAGUGAAUGGAAAUCAUACAGAUGUUUGAUGACUAGUAAGUACAAUUUGGCAGUUCCUGGGCUUGUAAGACAGCUGUUAGAAAAAAUAUUUCCUGCCCUCCAGGAGCUUAAGGGUAAGUGGGGAAACAUUUGGAAGGGAAGUGUGUUAGAAGAAAGGGCAUUAAUACA
Molecule: long non-coding RNA, 747 nt
Organism: Herpailurus yagouaroundi (jaguarundi)
Lineage: Eukaryota; Metazoa; Chordata; Mammalia; Carnivora; Felidae
Exons: 5
Source: RefSeq, a predicted model, not a curated record